AUUGAACGCUGGCGGCAGGCCUAACACAUGCAAGUCGAGCGGCAGAAGGGAGCUUGCUCCUGGAUUCAGCGGCGGACGGGUGAGUAAUGCCUAGGAAUCUGCCUGGUAGUGGGUGAUAACGUCCGGAAACGGGCGCUAAUACCGCAUACGUCCUGAGGGAGUAAGUGGGGGAUCUUCGGACCUUACGCUAUCAGAUGAGCCGAGGUCGGGUUAGCUGGUUGGUGGGGUAAAGGCCUACCAAGGCGACGAUCCGUAGCUGGUCUGAGAGGAUGAUCAGCAACACUGGAACUGAGACACGGUCCAGACUCCUACGGGAGGCAGCAGUGGGGAAUAUUGGACAAAGGGCGCAAGCCUGAUCCAGCCAUACCGCGUGGGUGAAGAAGGCCUUCGGAUUGUAAAGCCCUUUUGUUGGGAAAGAAAAGCAGAAGGUUAAUACCCCGCUGUUUUGACGGUACCAAAAGAAUAAGCACCGGCUAACUUCGUG
RNAcentral lists this ribosomal RNA (484 nucleotides) under uncultured bacterium. RNAcentral describes it as "partial 16S ribosomal RNA". It matches the Rfam family "Bacterial small subunit ribosomal RNA", at positions 30 to 507 of the family's 1533-position model. The record is from RNAcentral.